This 796-nucleotide long non-coding RNA is filed under the name Oryza sativa (Asian cultivated rice). Its description in RNAcentral is "long non-coding RNA (OSAT_LNC000077)". Lineage: Eukaryota; Viridiplantae; Streptophyta; Magnoliopsida; Poales; Poaceae. The record is from RNAcentral.
GUAGUUUAUUACUCCAUGCCUCAUGCAGAGAGCAGUGCUGCGAAUUGAUCUGCCAGGCUCUUCACAGUCGUCGGAGAAACUGCAGAUUCUCCACCCAGGUACCACUUCUGAAUCAUCUCGGCCACAUUCUUGUUCUCCACUGUCAGCUUCGCCUCGCCCUUGCCUUCUGUCACAAAUGAUAUCUGCACACAUAUAUGCAUGCUUCAAUUAGGUUUGCAAGAACAAAGAUUUGAUCACUUGAUAUCUUAACCAAACCCAGCUGAAUAUAAGGAGUACUCUACAAGAUUAUACCUCUGCAAUUCCAGGGGUGUUAGGAAAGUGGAAGGUGAGGACGGAGUUGGGCUUGAAAUACUUGGACUGAAAGAAUUCAGUCACCUUCUCCAGAGACUCUUCCUCCUCAUCCUCGUACUUGUCCACUGACACGAGACGGUCGCGCACUGAGCUCUCCAGCUGCACGCCGUACUGUGAUCCUUUGAUCUCCUUGAUCACCACGAUCCUGAAUAGUUUCUCCACAGGAGCUAGCGUACAUGCACAGCAUCAAUCAGCAUGACUCAAAUGAAAAAAUGAAACAUUUUUUUCUUGCAGUUAUGCAGGAGCGGCAGACUGAACCUUACUCUGUUUUAUUUUGUAGGAUAGAACAUUGUUCUAUAAACUCUACAGAGAUAAUACUACUAUUUGUGAUCUGUAACUGGAAAUGGGAGAAUGGUAUUGAUAUACUAUAGACAAGCAAUUCCAAAUCCGUUUUACAUAUUUCUGAAAUGCAAAACCUGAAUGGUGGAGUCAUUUUAGUUACCAG